AGCGCAGGCGGGAAGACAAGUUGGAAGUGAAAACCGUGGGCUCAACCCAUGAAUUGCUUUCAAAACUGUUUUUCUUUGAGUAGUGCAGAGGUAGAUGGAAUUCCCGGUGUAGCGGUGGAAUGCGUAGAUAUCGGGAGGAACACCAGUGACGAAGGCGGUCUACUGGGCACCAACUGACGCUGAGGCUCGAAAGCAUGGGUAGCAAACA
RNAcentral lists this ribosomal RNA (208 nucleotides) under uncultured bacterium. RNAcentral describes it as "partial 16S ribosomal RNA". It matches the Rfam family "Bacterial small subunit ribosomal RNA", at positions 568 to 774 of the family's 1533-position model. The record is from RNAcentral.